This 412-nucleotide ribosomal RNA is filed under the name Xanthobacter flavus. RNAcentral describes it as "bacterial SSU rRNA". It matches the Rfam family "Bacterial small subunit ribosomal RNA", at positions 18 to 478 of the family's 1533-position model. Lineage: Bacteria; Pseudomonadati; Pseudomonadota; Alphaproteobacteria; Hyphomicrobiales; Xanthobacteraceae. The record is from RNAcentral.
CAUGGCUCAGAGCGAACGCUGGCGGCAGGCCUAACACAUGCAAGUCGAGCGCCCAGCAAUGGGAGCGGCAGACGGGUGAGUAACACGUGGGGAUCUACCCAAUGGUACGGAAUAACCCAGGGAAACUUGGAUUAAUACCGUAUGUGCCCUUCGGGGGAAAGAUUUAUCGCCAUUGGAUGAACCCGCGUCGGAUUAGCUAGUUGGUGAGGUAAAGGCUCACCAAGGCGACGAUCCGUAGCUGGUCUGAGAGGAUGAUCAGCCACACUGGGACUGAGACACGGCCCAGACUCCUACGGGAGGCAGCAGUGGGGAAUAUUGGACAAUGGGCGCAAGCCUGAUCCAGCCAUGCCGCGUGAGUGAUGAAGGCCUUAGGGUUGUAAAGCUCUUUCGCCGGUGAAGAUAAUGACGGUAA